RNAcentral lists this unclassified non-coding RNA (330 nucleotides) under uncultured fungus. RNAcentral's name for it is "partial contains 5.8S rRNA and ITS2". Lineage: Eukaryota; Fungi. The record is from RNAcentral.
AACGCAAAUUGCGCUCGAGGCCUCGGCCAAGAGCAUGUCUGCCUCAGCGUCGGGUUAAGACUCAUCGCAUCCAUCCAUGUGGUGGUUGUACGGUGGAACUGGCUGUCCUGCCGAUCUUCGUACAUGUACAAGAGAAGCGGGGCAGCUGAAUCGAAGCUGUUGCUGAUGGACCCUACUAUGGGCCUCUACUGGGUAGGGCACUCGUUUGCUGUGAUGCUUUAGUAGAUGGCUGUGGUACUGUGAGAAGCACAAACCAAGAAUAUGCUCGUCAUGGGCGUAACCCCUCCUUUUUUCGACCUGAGCGCAGGCAAGAUUACCCGCUGAACUUAA